GAUGAACGCUGGCGGCGUGCUUAACACGAUGCAAGUCGAACGGAGAAAGGGUAGCUUGCUACUUUUCUUAGUGGCGGACGGGUGAGUAACGCGUGGGUAACCUGCCCUUUGCAGGGGGAUAACAGUGAGAAAUCACUAGCUAAUACCGCAUACCAACUUCUUUCGCAUGAAGGAAGUUUGAAAGAUUUAAUCGGCAAAGGAUGGACCCGCGUUGGAUUAGCUAGUUGGUGAGAUAACAGCCCACCAAGGCAACGGAUCCAUAGCCGGCCUCGAGAGGGUGAACGGCCACACUGGGACUGAGACACGGCCCAGACUCCUACGGGAGGCAGCAGUGGGGAAUAUUGCACAAUGGGCGAAAGCCUGAUGCAGCGACGCCGCGUGAAGGAUGAAGGUCUUCGGAUUGUAAACUUUCUAUCAGCAGGGAAGAAAGGGCUUAUAGCCUAUGACGGUACCUGACUAAGAAGCCCCGGCUAACUACGUG
This 481-nucleotide ribosomal RNA is filed under the name uncultured bacterium. RNAcentral's name for it is "bacterial SSU rRNA". It matches the Rfam family "Bacterial small subunit ribosomal RNA", at positions 28 to 507 of the family's 1533-position model. The record is from RNAcentral.